Small nucleolar RNA from Dromiciops gliroides (monito del monte), 77 nucleotides. RefSeq annotates it as small nucleolar RNA U2-19. The record is from RefSeq and is a predicted model, not a curated record. Lineage: Eukaryota; Metazoa; Chordata; Mammalia; Microbiotheria; Microbiotheriidae. The transcript has a single exon.
GAUCAGUGAUGAAAAAUAGCCAAACAUGAGCAUCACAAGAUCUUCUUGUCUUGCCAUACUAUCUUCCAGUUUUCCCA